RNAcentral lists this long non-coding RNA (323 nucleotides) under Aedes aegypti (yellow fever mosquito). RNAcentral describes it as "lncRNA AAEL023499". The record is from RNAcentral. Lineage: Eukaryota; Metazoa; Arthropoda; Insecta; Diptera; Culicidae.
UUUAGGUUGUUUGUUUUUGUUCAGAUAUCUGAGAAUCAAAUUAAAACAUUAGGUAAAUUCAAACAAUAUUCAAUAUCAAACUGAAUUGCUGUGCGGUGGACAACUCCAUUUAACUUUUUCUUGUUGGAAGUUAUAAUUAAAUUGGAAAAUUUACAGUACUACUAGUAGUAACUAUUUUGAUCUGUUACUCUUUUCAUGAGGUUUUGUACGAUAAUGGACAAUGGAUGCCAGCCUCCACAAUGGUUUUGUGACUUCGCUUGAUAUAUGCGACUUACGUCUAAAAAAGUUUUGAUGUUUUCCACCCAUUAUCUUGCAUGAAAUGC